GUAGUCUGCAACCCGGCCUACAUGAAGCUGGAAUCGCUAGUAAUCGCGGAUCAGAAUGCCGCGGUGAAUACGUUCCCGGGUCUUGUACACACCGCCCGUCACACCAUGGGAGCCGGAAAUGCCCGAAGUCAGUGACCCAACCGCAAGGAGGGAGCUGCCGAAGGUGGAGCUGGUAACUGGGGUGAAGUCGUAACAAGGUACC
This 202-nucleotide ribosomal RNA is filed under the name uncultured bacterium. Its description in RNAcentral is "partial 16S ribosomal RNA". It matches the Rfam family "Bacterial small subunit ribosomal RNA", at positions 1300 to 1500 of the family's 1533-position model. The record is from RNAcentral.